RNAcentral lists this transfer RNA (73 nucleotides) under Clostridiales bacterium. RNAcentral's name for it is "tRNA-Arg". It matches the Rfam family "tRNA". Rfam says of the family: Transfer RNA (tRNA) molecules are approximately 80 nucleotides in length. Their secondary structure includes four short double-helical elements and three loops (D, anti-codon, and T loops). Lineage: Bacteria; Bacillati; Bacillota; Clostridia; Eubacteriales. The record is from RNAcentral.
GCAUCUGUAGCUCAGUGGAUAGAGCAGUGGUUUCCGGAGCCGCGUGUCGGGGGUUCGACUCCCUUCAGAUGCA